ACGGAAGGCAGCAGUGGGGAAUAUUGCACAAUGGGCGAAAGCCUGAUGCAGCGACGCCGCGUGAGCGAAGAAGUAUUUCGGUAUGUAAAGCUCUAUCAGCAGGGAAGAUAAUGACGGUACCUGACUAAGAAGCACCGGCUAAAUACGUGCCAGCAGCCGCGGUAAUACGUAUGGUGCAAGCGUUAUCCGGAUUUACUGGGUGUAAAGGGAGCGUAGGCGGUUUUACAAGUCUGAUGUGAAGGCCCGGGGCUCAACUCCGGUAUUGCAUUGGAAACUGUAGAACUAGAGUGUCGGAGGGGUAAGUGGAAUUCCUAGUGUAGCGGUGAAAUGCGUAGAUAUUAGGAGGAACACCAGUGGCGAAGGCGGCUUACUGGACGAUUACUGACGCUGAGGCUCGAAAGCGUGGGGAGCAAACAGGAUUAGAUACCCUGGUA
This 434-nucleotide ribosomal RNA is filed under the name uncultured Pseudobutyrivibrio sp. RNAcentral describes it as "partial 16S ribosomal RNA". It matches the Rfam family "Bacterial small subunit ribosomal RNA", at positions 341 to 792 of the family's 1533-position model. The record is from RNAcentral. Lineage: Bacteria; Bacillati; Bacillota; Clostridia; Lachnospirales; Lachnospiraceae.